Molecule: ribosomal RNA, 465 nt
Filed under: Vreelandella stevensii
Lineage: Bacteria; Pseudomonadati; Pseudomonadota; Gammaproteobacteria; Oceanospirillales; Halomonadaceae
Description: partial 16S ribosomal RNA
Rfam family: Bacterial small subunit ribosomal RNA
Source: RNAcentral
CCUACGGGCGGCUGCAGUGGGGAAUAUUGGACAAUGGGGGGAACCCUGAUCCAGCCAUGCCGCGUGUGUGAAGAAGGCACUCGGGUUGUAAAGCACUUUCAGUGAGGAAGAACGCCUGGUGGUUAAUACCCAUCAGGAAAGACAUCACUCACAGAAGAAGCACCGGCUAACUCCGUGCCAGCAGCCGCGGUAAUACGGAGGGUGCGAGCGUUAAUCGGAAUUACUGGGCGUAAAGCGCGCGUAGGUGGCUUGAUAAGCCGGUUGUGAAAGCCCCGGGCUCAACCUGGGAACGGCAUCCGGAACUGUCAAGCUAGAGUGCAGGAGAGGAAGGUAGAAUUCCCGGUGUAGCGGUGAAAUGCGUAGAGAUCGGGAGGAAUACCAGUGGCGAAGGCGGCCUUCUGGACUGACACUGACACUGAGGUGCGAAAGCGUGGGUAGCAAACAGGAUUAGAUACCCUGGUAGUC